This 201-nucleotide long non-coding RNA is filed under the name Ananas comosus (pineapple). RNAcentral describes it as "long non-coding RNA (ACOM_LNC037487)". Lineage: Eukaryota; Viridiplantae; Streptophyta; Magnoliopsida; Poales; Bromeliaceae. The record is from RNAcentral.
UUUCGCUAAUUUUGAUUCCACGUCACUCACGUUUUCUAGAUCCUUAAGGUCUUCCAAUCCUAAGGGUCUCUAGGUCCAUUCCUAUUCUUUCACUCUUGGCUCUGAUACCACGAUAUCUGUCAUGCCCCGGGACCGAUACCAAUUUGGGCCGGCCCGAGCACGUCAAACAGACGCCGAACGGAUAGAGUUUUUCCUGUCCGC